AAGAUUCUCAAGUGCCUUUCACUCGAGACCAGACAGACAACGUCAAUGAAACGGCAGUAUGCAUAAUGAAUAAUUUCUUUAUAUAUUUUUUUCUGAAUUAACAAGAUAAUGAUCUGAAUUCUGAGAAAAGUUUUGAAUGAAAAGAGAAAUUGGUCUGUUUUUCAGAAGUAACAAGGCACCUGACUUUUGUAAGAAGAGCCACCAAGUGCAAAUGUUGGUUAAGCCAGCCGCCACCAUCUGAACCCCAUUGCACCUAAAGUCCUAAGGAUUGACAGUCUAAAGGACUGUCAAGGAGAGAGUGAUCAAGUCUGAGCUGGACAUCUAUGGCAAACACAAUGAAGUCAAUUGUGUUUAAAUGACACUGUUCCAGUCUCCGCUCUCUAUUAACAGUCUGACAGACUGUCUUGGAGAGAGUGAUCAAUUCUGAGGUGGACAUCUACGCCAAUUGUGUUUAAAUAACACGCUUCCAGUCUCCACUGUUG
This is a long non-coding RNA of Scomber japonicus (chub mackerel), 482 nucleotides long. RefSeq lists it as uncharacterized. NCBI's taxonomy places the organism in Eukaryota, Metazoa, Chordata, Actinopteri, Scombriformes, Scombridae. The transcript is spliced from 3 exons. The record is from RefSeq and is a predicted model, not a curated record.